CCUACGGGUGGCAGCAGUGGGGAAUAUUGCACAAUGGGGGAAACCCUGAUGCAGCGACGCCGCGUGAGUGCAGAAGUAUUUCGGUAUGUAAAGCUCUAUCAGCAGGGAAGAAAAUGACGGUAACUGAUUAAGAAGCCCCGGCUAACUACGUGCCAGCAGCCGCGGGAAUACGUAGGGGGCAAGCGUUAUCCGGAUUUAAUGGGUGGAAAGGGAGCGUGGACGGCAGCACAAGUCUGGAGUGAAAUGCCGGGGCUUAACCCCGGAACUGCUUUGGAAACUGUGCAGCUAGAGUGCAGGAGAGGUAAGUGGAAUUCCUAGUGUAGCGGUGAAAUGCGUAGAUAUUAGGAGGAACACCAGUGGCGAAGGCGGCUUACUGGACUGUAACUGACGUUGAGGCUCGAAAGCGUGGGGAGCAAACAGGAUUAGAUACCCUAGUAGUC
This 440-nucleotide ribosomal RNA is filed under the name uncultured bacterium. RNAcentral's name for it is "partial 16S ribosomal RNA". It matches the Rfam family "Bacterial small subunit ribosomal RNA", at positions 338 to 795 of the family's 1533-position model. The record is from RNAcentral.